RNAcentral lists this ribosomal RNA (414 nucleotides) under Escherichia coli. RNAcentral's name for it is "bacterial SSU rRNA". It matches the Rfam family "Bacterial small subunit ribosomal RNA", at positions 202 to 598 of the family's 1533-position model. Lineage: Bacteria; Pseudomonadati; Pseudomonadota; Gammaproteobacteria; Enterobacterales; Enterobacteriaceae. The record is from RNAcentral.
AAAGAGGGGGACCUUCGGGCCUCUUGCCAUCGGAUGUGCCCAGAUGGGAUUAGCUAGUAGGUGGGGUAAAGGCUCACCUAGGCGACGAUCCCUAGCUGGUCUGAGAGGAUGACCAGCCACACUGGAACUGAGACACGGUCCAGACUCCUACGGGAGGCAGCAGUGGGGAAUAUUGCACAAUGGGCGCAAGCCUGAUGCAGCCAUGCCGCGUGUAUGAAGAAGGCCUUCGGGUUGUAAAGUACUUUCAGCGGGGAGGAAGGGAGUAAAGUUAAUACCUUUGCUCAUUGACGUUACCCGCAGAAGAAGCACCGGCUAACUCCGUGCCAGCAGCCGCGGUAAUACGGAGGGUGCAAGCGUUAAUCGGAAUUACUGGGCGUAAAGCGCACGCAGGCGGUUUGUUAAGUCAGAUGUGAA